AUGUUUAUCUCCCAGGGACAAAUCACAAAUGAAACUGUGACCUAUAGAACUGAGGAAAACCUGUGCUUGGAUAAAUGGAUUACCUUUAUCUCUGAAGAGAGUUCUGUUUCUAACAACAUGGUAACUGUAUUGUCUGCUUUGACCCUCAGUACCCUUUGCCUCAAGUUCCGUUGGAUUCACCUCAUAAUUCUUGUAAACAACAAAGCAGAACCCACAGGUCUGAAGCCUGCCAGAAGAGAAAAGGUUGUUGUCGCUCUACGAAUAGUGCUGGAUUUGCAAAGGUUGUUUAAAUUUUACCAACAGGAUUUAUUUCUGAGACUGAAAAAAGAGCAACCCAUCCUCAACACCCCCAAUCCAACUUUGCCUUUACAUUGCACCAACUGUCACUGGCAAAACAAGACCUGGAAUCUAUAUUCAAAAUAUCUUUACUUACUUGGAAGUGAAUGA
Molecule: long non-coding RNA, 447 nt
Filed under: Pogona vitticeps (central bearded dragon)
Lineage: Eukaryota; Metazoa; Chordata; Lepidosauria; Squamata; Agamidae
Description: lncRNA (ENSPVIG00000005336.1)
Source: RNAcentral